GAAGGUGGGUGGAAACACACGGGAUGGGGAGGUGUUGGGACCAGGUGAAGGUGGAUGGAAACACACGGGUUGGGAAGGUGUUGGGACCAGGUGAAGGUGGGUGGAAUACACGGGUUGGGAAGGUGUUGGGACCAGGUGAAGGUGGGUGGAAACACACGGGUUGGGGAGGUGUUGGGACCAGGUGAAGGUGGAUGGAAACACACGGGUUGGGGAGGUGUUGGGACCAGGUGAAGGUGGAUGGAAACACACGGGUUGGGGAGGUGUUGGGACCAGGUGAAGGUGGAUGGAAACACAUGGGUUGGGGAGGUGUUGGGACCAGGUGAAGGUGGGUGGAAACACACUGGUUGGGACCAGGUGAAGGUGGAUGGCAACACACGGG
Molecule: long non-coding RNA, 379 nt
Organism: Haliotis rubra (blacklip abalone)
Lineage: Eukaryota; Metazoa; Mollusca; Gastropoda; Lepetellida; Haliotidae
Exons: 3
Source: RefSeq, a predicted model, not a curated record